CAGCCGCCACGGUAACACGAACCGUGCGAACGUUAUUCGGAAUUACCGGGCUUAAAGCGCGUGUAGGCGGGCCGCCACGUCGGUUGCUGAAAUCCCCCGGCUCAACCGGGGAAGUGGCAUCGAUACGAGCGGCCUUGAGGGGGGUAGGGGGAUCUGGAACUUCCGGUGGAGCGGUGAAAUGCGUUGAGAUCGGAAGGAACGCCCGUGGCGAAAGCGAGGUCCUGGACCCUUUCUGACGCUGAGACGCGAAAGCCAGGGGAGCGAACGGGAUUAGAUACCCGCGUAGUCCCUGUCUCUUAUA
This 301-nucleotide ribosomal RNA is filed under the name uncultured bacterium. RNAcentral describes it as "partial 16S ribosomal RNA". It matches the Rfam family "Bacterial small subunit ribosomal RNA", at positions 509 to 807 of the family's 1533-position model. The record is from RNAcentral.